UUUCCUAACACAUCAACCUAUUUUCAACAACAUUGAAAUCACAAUUACAUUACACANACAUAUAAAAACNACCAUUCCCGUUAACAACUUCAACAAAUUUUCCAGUCUAACACCCAUUGCUUUCUGUUUUCCCACAAGUCUCUCUUCCAUCUUCAUCAUCAUUUGUUCCAUCAUCAUAGAAUUUCCACCCACUUCGUUCUUUCUUCCACUUCCUUCUAAAGUGACCACAUUUCCUUCAUUUCCAUCAUGAAUCACAGCCUCAUUGCACCACUUAAAAAAGUUGCAUCCAGAACCACAAUCCUCACUCCCACCUUGUCCAAGAAGAAAACAAAUUUGGUGAACCACAAUACAACCUCUGGAACGACAAAAAAAUCACAAUA
This 380-nucleotide long non-coding RNA is filed under the name Vigna radiata. RNAcentral's name for it is "long non-coding RNA (VRAD_LNC007905)". The record is from RNAcentral. Lineage: Eukaryota; Viridiplantae; Streptophyta; Magnoliopsida; Fabales; Fabaceae.